This 509-nucleotide ribosomal RNA is filed under the name uncultured bacterium. Its description in RNAcentral is "bacterial SSU rRNA". It matches the Rfam family "Bacterial small subunit ribosomal RNA", at positions 501 to 1009 of the family's 1533-position model. The record is from RNAcentral.
CUACGUGCCAGCAGCCGCGGUAAUACGUAGGUGGCAAGCGUUGUCCGGAAUUAUUGGGCGUAAAGCGCGCGCAGGCGGAUUGGUCAGUCUGUCUUAAAAGUUCGGGGCUUAACCCCGUGAUGGGAUGGAAACUNCCAAUCUAGAGUAUCGGAGAGGAAAGUGGAAUUCCUAGUGUAGCGGUGAAAUGCGUAGAUAUUAGGAAGAACACCAGUGGCGAAGGCGACUUUCUGGACGAAAACUGACGCUGAGGCGCGAAAGCCAGGGGAGCGAACGGGAUUAGAUACCCCGGUAGUCCUGGCCGUAAACGAUGGGUACUAGGUGUAGGAGGUAUCGACCCCUUCUGUGCCGGAGUUAACGCAAUAAGUACCCCGCCUGGGGAGUACGACCGCAAGGUUGAAACUCAAAGGAAUUGACGGGGGCCCGCACAAGCGGUGGAGUAUGUGGUUUAAUUCGACGCAACGCGAAGAACCUUACCAGGUCUUGACAUUGAUGGACAGAACUAGAGAUAG